RNAcentral lists this ribosomal RNA (627 nucleotides) under uncultured bacterium. RNAcentral's name for it is "bacterial SSU rRNA". It matches the Rfam family "Bacterial small subunit ribosomal RNA", at positions 96 to 739 of the family's 1533-position model. The record is from RNAcentral.
CGGCGAACGGGUGAGGAACACGUGAGAAAUCUGCCUUCACACUGGGAUAACUCCGGGAAACCGGGGCUAAUACCGGAUAUGAAAUCUGCGGGCAUCCGCGGAUUUGGAAAGUUUUUCGGUUGAAGAUGAUCUCGCGGCCUAUCAGCUUGUUGGUGAGGNNNUGGCUCACCAAGGCGACGACGGGUAGCCGGCCUGAGAGGGCGACCGGCCACACUGGGACUGAGACACGGCCCAGACUCCUACGGGAGACAGCAGUGGGGAAUAUUGGGCAAUGGAGGAAACUCUGACCCAGCGACGCCGCGUGCGGGAUGAAGGCCUUCGGGUUGUAAACCGCUUUCAGCAGGGAAGAAGCGAAAGUGACGGUACCUGCAGAAGAAGCACCGGCUAACUAUGUGCCAGCAGCCGCGGUAAUACAUAGGGUGCAAGCGUUGUCCGGAAUUAUUGGGCGUAAAGAGCUCGUAGGUGGUUCGUCACGUCGGAUGUGAAACUCUGGGGCUUAACCCCAGACCUGCAUUCGAUACGGGCGAGCUUGAGUAUGGUAGGGGAGUCUGGAAUUCCUGGUGUAGCGGUGGAAUGCGCAGAUAUCAGGAGGAACACCAAUGGCGAAGGCAGGACUCUGGGCCAUUA